This 177-nucleotide ribosomal RNA is filed under the name Rhodeus sp. CBM:ZF:17866. Its description in RNAcentral is "partial 12S rRNA". The record is from RNAcentral. Lineage: Eukaryota; Metazoa; Chordata; Actinopteri; Cypriniformes; Acheilognathidae.
CACCGCGGUUAAACGAGAGGCCCUAGUUGAUAGUAUUGCGGCGUAAAGGGUGGUUAGGGGCUGUAACUUAAUAAAGCUGAAUAGCCCUCCGGCCGUCAUACGCUUCCAGGCGCUAGAAAUCCAAUUAAACGAAAGUAGCUUUAAUGAAAUUCACCUGACCCCACGAGAGCUAAGAAA